This 498-nucleotide non-coding RNA is filed under the name Lucilia cuprina (Australian sheep blowfly). RNAcentral's name for it is "Eukaryotic small subunit ribosomal RNA". It matches the Rfam family "Eukaryotic small subunit ribosomal RNA", at positions 637 to 1114 of the family's 1831-position model. The record is from Rfam by way of RNAcentral. Lineage: Eukaryota; Metazoa; Arthropoda; Insecta; Diptera; Calliphoridae.
GUCACAAUGUUAAAAUUUAAACCUUAGGGUCCUAAAAAAAUUGAGUGUUUUUUUUUUUUCAAAAAACAGUUGUUUUGAAAGUUUUGUUCGGAACCUCAUCAUAGAUUUUAAAAACCAGUUAUGAGGAAAUAUAGGCCAGACCUCCCCAAGUAUGAUGCAAUAUAGCCCAAAUGCCUGAAUAUUUUGUGCAUGGAAUAAUGAAAUAAGACCUCUGUUCCUACUUUCAUUGGUUUUUAGAUCAAGAGGUAAUGAUUAAUAGAAGCAGUUUGGGGGCAUUAGUAUUACGACGCGAGAGGUGAAAUUUUUGGUCCGUCGUAAGACUAACUUAAGCGAAAGCAUUUGCCAAAGAUGUUUUCAUUAAUCAAGAACGAAAGUUAGAGGUUCGAAGGCGAUCAGAUACCGCCCUAGUUCUAACCAUAAACGAUGCCAACUAGCAAUUGGGUAGAUACUAUCAUGGCUCUCUCAGUCGCUUCCCGGGAAACCAAAGCUUUUGGGCUC